Long non-coding RNA from Melitaea cinxia (Glanville fritillary), 545 nucleotides. RefSeq lists it as uncharacterized. The record is from RefSeq and is a predicted model, not a curated record. The transcript has 2 exons. Lineage: Eukaryota; Metazoa; Arthropoda; Insecta; Lepidoptera; Nymphalidae.
GGUUAUGGGGAUAAAAACGGCUUAUGUCGAUUUCUGGCUAAACUACAAGUCUUACGGAAAUAAGGCAUCACAAACUACCUACGAACAUCUUGCGAAAUAUUUGCAGCGUAUUAUUUGCACUGAAAUGUCUAAAGUAAAAAAAAGCGUCAAUUACACCAUUGGACAACAAGUUAUAAAAUAUUAGAAGUCGUCCAGCAGUCAAGAGAGGCACCGAGUAAACAAAGAGCUUGGAAUAUUAUCGGUGACGCCUUGCCAUACAAAGACAUUGCGACAUUUGUAGUUUUAUAAAUCUUUAAAAGAUAACGAGGAAAAACGCAAAGCAUUGGUAUUUAAAAACUAUCCAAAUAUUAUUCACAAAGAUUUACAAAUUAUUAAAAUAUUGUUAGCAAAAGAUUGAAAAAUUAUAGGUUGUGACCGGUUAGAACAAGCAAUUAUUUAUAUUAAUAUAUAUGAUGAUGAGUUAUAUUGCAUUGUUAAUUACAGUCAGUGAAGUAUUUUAAUGUAAUUUAACUAGUGCAUCAUAAUAAAAAUAUAGUUACUAUCAA